RNAcentral lists this ribosomal RNA (487 nucleotides) under uncultured bacterium. Its description in RNAcentral is "partial 16S ribosomal RNA". It matches the Rfam family "Bacterial small subunit ribosomal RNA", at positions 30 to 506 of the family's 1533-position model. The record is from RNAcentral.
UGAACGCUGGCGGCAGGCCUAACACAUGCAAGUCGAACGGUAACAGGAAGAAGCUUGCUUCUUUGCUGACGAGUGGCGGACGGGUGAGUAAUGUCUGGGAAACUGCCUGAUGGAGGGGGAUAACUACUGGAAACGGUAGCUAAUACCGCAUAACGUCGCAAGACCAAAGAGGGGGACCUUCGGGCCUCUUGCCAUCGGAUGUGCCCAGAUGGGAUUAGCUAGUAGGUGGGGUAACGGCUCACCUAGGCGACGAUCCCUAGCUGGUCUGAGAGGAUGACCAGCCACACUGGAACUGAGACACGGUCCAGACUCCUACGGGAGGCAGCAGUGGGGAAUAUUGCACAAUGGGCGCAAGCCUGAUGCAGCCAUGCCGCGUGUAUGAAGAAGGCCUUCGGGUUGUAAAGUACUUUCAGCGGGGAGGAAGGGAGUAAAGUUAAUACCUUUGCUCAUUGACGUUACCCGCAGAAGAAGCACCGGCUAACUCCGU